AUCGACCGCGUGUGGCGGCCUUUUGUGCCGACCCUCGGCCCCAAUUUAUUUAUCAAUUUACGUGCCUAUUCUAUCACCCCCGGUUCCCUCUUUUGAGGUUCUUCCGGGGUUUUUUACGGGAAUAUCCUCAGCACGUUUCUUACUUCUUCACGCAAAAGCUUGGAGGGUACCUCACCGGGGGGAUUAUUCUCUCUCAAGUGAACACCUCCAAAACUGCAUAAACAACCUUGUGUCGACAUAUCGCUUACUUUACAUUUUUCGCGUUUAGUAUGGUAACUAACCAUAAAUUACAAAUUGGGGUUAAAUCAACACUUGUGUAUAUCCGAAUGAUAAAGCCUGCUAAUCAGAUAAAGCUGCUAAUGGACUCUAUCCGAUAAUAGAUUGAUAUCCAAAUUUAAAUCCUGCAAAUUGGAAAGACCUGCAAUGGAAGUCACAUCGGUAAUACCAUUAUGUUAACAUGCACAUUU
RNAcentral lists this ribosomal RNA (467 nucleotides) under Trypanosoma evansi. RNAcentral's name for it is "partial 18S ribosomal RNA". Lineage: Eukaryota; Euglenozoa; Kinetoplastea; Trypanosomatida; Trypanosomatidae. The record is from RNAcentral.